ACGCUGGCGGCAGGCCUAACACAUGCAAGUCGAGCGGUAGAGAGAAGCUUGCUUCUCUUGAGAGCGGCGGACGGGUGAGUAAUGCCUAGGAAUCUGCCUGGUAGUGGGGGAUAACGUUCGGAAACGGACGCUAAUACCGCAUACGUCCUACGGGAGAAAGCAGGGGACCUUCGGGCCUUGCGCUAUCAGAUGAGCCUAGGUCGGAUUAGCUAGUUGGUGGGGUAAUGGCUCACCAAGGCGACGAUCCGUAACUGGUCUGAGAGGAUGAUCAGUCACACUGGAACUGAGACACGGUCCAGACUCCUACGGGAGGCAGCAGUGGGGAAUAUUGGACAAUGGGCGAAAGCCUGAUCCAGCCAUGCCGCGUGUGUGAAGAAGGUCUUCGGAUUGUAAAGCACUUUAAGUUGGGAGGAAGGGCAGUAAAUUAAUACUUUGCUGUUUUGACGUUACCGACAGAAUAAGCACCGGCUAACUCUGUGCCAGCAGCCGCGGUAAUACAGAGGGUGCAAGCGUUAAUCGGAAUUACUGGGCGUAAAGCGCGCGUAGGUGGUUCGUUAAGUUGGAUGUGAAAUCCCCGGGCUCAACCUGGGAACGGCAUUCAAAACUGACGAGCUAGAGUAUGGUAGAGGGUGGUGGAAUUUCCCGUGUAGCGGUGAAAUGCGUAGAUAUAGGAAGGAACACCAGUGGCGAAGGCGACCACCUGGACUGAUACUGACACUGAGGUGCGAAAGCGUGGGAGCAAAC
This 744-nucleotide ribosomal RNA is filed under the name uncultured bacterium. Its description in RNAcentral is "bacterial SSU rRNA". It matches the Rfam family "Bacterial small subunit ribosomal RNA", at positions 33 to 773 of the family's 1533-position model. The record is from RNAcentral.